Gallus gallus (chicken) is the source of this 3725-nucleotide long non-coding RNA. The record is from Ensembl. Lineage: Eukaryota; Metazoa; Chordata; Aves; Galliformes; Phasianidae.
GUAAUUAAAAAAAAAAACAACAAAAAACAAAAAAGUGGAUGUAUACUAAGCCAAUGACAUGAUGUGAGAGUGGUUAUUGUUUGCCUUCUGGUCAUCAGAAUAAAACCAGUGUAACUUCUGCACCUUGUGCUUUGCUCAAUAAAUGUGCUGCUCUGCUUGUGCCCAGCUGGGCUUCUGAUUGCCAGCAGUGCAGAUAGCAGGUGCUUCCUGACCUUGGUGUCUGGGAGGAGGCUUGGUUGCUGUGGUUUAGAAGACUCUCAUAAAGUCUUUGUUAUAUCCAAAGCUCCUGGUGAGGAUAUGAAGGAAUUCAGGAUGACAGUUUCAGUGUCUUAUCCAAACAGACGUGUAUUGGAAAAGGACUAGAGAAAUGGUGACAGCAGAUUCAGGCUACCUGAGGAGAAAAAGAAUGCAGUGAAACUUAAAUACAACUUUUCCAUAGUGCUGACCAACGCUACAGUGCUCAGAAAGGAAAUCUCUCUUGGCAAAAUUUCCGACUUCCAUAAGCAUGCCUCCAUUAGAGAGCAGAGGGUGAUUCUUGCCAUGCACACUGGCACAGGUGCAAACAAUUUACAUGUGCCUCCCACCUGACUGGAAGGAGUGGACCCUGGGUCUACCCCUCCUCCUGGGCUCAUUUAAGGGAUAGCCUCCAAAAGGAGAUCAUCUGGAGACUAUCAUCACCAGCUGGGUGAGGCAACGUUUUUUCUUGUAUAUGAAUGUCGGUAUUCCCAAUGAUACUUUGCCUGGUAUCGUAAGGAACUUUUCAGAAGCAGUUUUGCUGCUUGGUGGGACAAACAUGCUAUCUUUAUUUUUAGCUUUUCUUAUCUGGGCAUAUAAAUACAUUCCCCUUAUAUACAUAUAUAUUCUCCUUGUAGAAAGUCAGUUCUAUAAAAACUUAUAAGUAAACUCUAUUGGUGAAGGCAGGGGUUGGGGGAAUGGAUGAAGAGAAACAAGACAAAAUAAUCCCGAAGCUGAAAAUAAAGGUUUUGAAUGUGAGACACAGCAAGAAUGCUUAUCUGUGGGUUCAAAUGCUUUUGUGGGAACAGCAAGUGAGCUCUAAUGAAGUCCAUGGAUUGAAAAUUGAUCACCUCACCGGUGACUUUUUUCUUUUACUUGAUCACUGAAAUGGAAGAUAAUAUUAGCUGAUUUUAAGCCUCCUGAUGGAGAGCUAAUCAAAUUGGGCCUAUAAUGAAAUAAGUCUUUGAAAGAAAAUGAUAAUCAAAGCCUUCAGUAGUCAUAAUUGCUGAGGAAUGGAGUAAAAGGCUAUUCAAGUAAUACCCCAGCUGUAGGCAUUAUGAACUGUUUAGCCAAAUCUGAGGUUGGUUAUUCCCAAUUUUCUCCUUAUAUUUAGAUCUGUUGAAGAGCUGUGCUAAUUUAAGACACUUUUGAAGAAAAGCAUACCAGAUUUUCAAUACACUCAAAUACGUGUGUACAUUCAGGUGAAGUUAUCACCUGAAGGGGGUUAGUGGUAGAGAACUGUGUAAGAAGUAGAAAGUUGGAGUAUUGGUUAUCAAGGAAGAAAAGGCCUUGGCCAAACCUUUCCUAGCUGUACAGCAGUAUCUGCUGUUGCUUUGGGGUUGGGAUGGUAAUAAGGGAUGAGAUGUACUGAGGUGCUGGAAGCAGGGAUGAGACCUGUGCGUGGGAGUCCAGGACUGAACAUCACAGGUGGAUGUUUUCUUCCUCUCUGCUUGAGUUAAGUGCCUGGGCAAAGUGAGAACUAUUGGAAAUAGACACAAAACUAUUGCUUAUGUCUAAUUUGUAGAAAUCUGAAGUCCUUUAUAGAAAUUGGAAGGAUUAAACCCAUUAUUUGCUACUUUAUAUGAAAAGUUCCUCUGUAAAAGCAAAAUAAUUCCCUUUCUAGGAGGUUCUGCUGGGAUAAUGCCUAACUUGCAUUGCUGCCCAUUCCAGCGGGUGUGAGGAAGCAGAUGGUACCAUGGUGUGAUGUAUUGCUUCUGUCACACCAUGCAUUCAGAGUUUCAGAUGAUGUAGAAGUGACCUGUAGACAGCCAGUUGCAUUGCUGCAGUUUUGUUUAAGUAAUGUGGUACUGUAUAGAGCAAUUGUUGAUCAGUAGAAUAAUCUAAUUGAACUUAAAGGCAUUUACAAAAAAAUAAGUGCCAUUAGGCUUGUCUUCUGAAGUACCUACAUGCAAGAUUUUCCUCAAGGAAGAUGAUUCAUUCUGUUGAGGAAUGCAUGCUUCUCAUGAACUUAAAUUCCAUUUCAGCAUCAGAAAUUUAUUGAAUGAGAUUAUGAUGGGAAGCCAUAAGGUAAAGCCCACUGAUUAGAGGAUAAAAGAAAAGAGGACAGUGUCUGACAGAAAAAAAAUGAAUAUUUUAAAAAGAAAUAUGUGGUAUAAAGGGAAAGAAAAAUGAACAGCCUUCCAUAAGAAUGGGAAAUAAUCUCUAUUUAUUUCAAGAACUAAAUUUAUUCUUCUUUAAAUUGUAUGGGAUGGUCUACCAAACAAAUUAUUUGGUAACAACACCCCAUUAUGAAAGCAUCAUAACUCUUUGCAGAAGUAAUAGCUUUUAUCAUUAUCAUUGAUUCAGGAAAUUGGAACAAAUAUCUUUGCAUAUUAGCACAUUAUGUAGAUGGAUUUGGAAAUGGCUCAAAGUUAUUUACUAUUUCAUGCCCAAAAUGAUAUUGUUCUGUCUGCUCAAAAAAGGAAUUUAAUUUAUCCUUGAUGGCUGAGAAGCAGGCAGCAAAUACAGUGUUAUUUUCAGAGCUCAGAACAAAUCAGCUGAAGUCAUGAGGCUGAAUAAAUGAAGAAGUUUUGCCUGUGUGCAUAAUCUAUAGCAUAUGUCUGUAGCAGAUUAAUGUACAUACAUAAGUAGGUGCAUAUACAUACCUAAAGUCAGAAGGUUCAGGACAUCCCCAGGGAAAGGGAUCUGGGUGAUCAGAAGAGUUAUUUAAAAAUAGGCUUUCCUAGCUGUCAUCUGUUUACAGGAAGAAAAUGUUUGCACUUCCUUUUGUGAAAUCUAGUUUAUUGCUUCUCCUAUUCAGGUUAUCCACAAAUUUGUUUUUAAGUUUUUAUAUUACAGUACUGACUUAGGCCUAAGUUCUACCAUUCAGGUGUACAUUGUGAGUCACUAAAUACCUUCUGCAUCUCUAUUGAAAGUAACAAUGAAGCUUUUGGGAGAGGGCAGCAGGCUGUCUUUAAAUACUGUGAAGCUGUGCUUUGAAUGUUUUUCUAGGCUGCAGUGUCAUGUGCGCAUACAUCUGUGUGUUUGCCUAAAUGAGCAGUUGAGCAUUCUGUAUUCCAUUCUGUAUGGUAAAAAAAAAUAAAAAAUAAAAAAAUAUUUCACUGCUACUGCAGGAUAUAGAUAUAGAUAAAUUUUCUCAUGGCAUACACAGUUCUUCAGAGUGAUUUGAAAGACCAGAAGUCAAACUAAAAUACACCUGUGAUUCCAUUCAAGGUACAUAUAAAUUUUACCACAGCUAAUUUUGAGAUGAAAAGUGAGAUGAAAAAGUGCAGAAGAUAAGACAGCUUAAGUAUAAAGAGGGCGAGGCCAUGGCUGUGAUUUUGGAAUCCUUCAGUCAAGUAGAUAAAGUGGCACUUCCCUUGAUGUGCUUACAGCUUAUGAGUGAAACUUAACAAUCACCAUGAAUUUCCACAUCCAGUGGGACCACUGUUUGUGUAGUGACAGAAAGAUGGUGCAAAAUUGGGAUAACUGAUAGUUGCUAUGCUGCUUAGAAUGACAGAAGCCACUUUCCUGGAUAGAAAUGAGUGCUG